This 601-nucleotide unclassified non-coding RNA is filed under the name Hevea brasiliensis (rubber tree). Lineage: Eukaryota; Viridiplantae; Streptophyta; Magnoliopsida; Malpighiales; Euphorbiaceae. The record is from RNAcentral.
AUCCUGUUUAAACCAUGCACGUACUAACAUUAGCAGCAUAAGAGAGAGAAAAAAUGCUGGCAAGGCAGCUAAAAUAGCAAAGUUGAUUUCAUUAGCCUUGAGAAUCUGAUCCAGUUCAAGCAUUGCCGUCUCAAUGUCUAGUUUUAGCUUCUGAACCUGGAUGAGCAAAGCACGAGCAAGCUCCCCACUUAAAAGAUUUUGAAUAGGGUGCAUAAGUUCUUUCUCAUACCUUGCCAUAACUAUUUCAAGCAUUUCCUGAUCUGAUGCAUUCUCUGGAAACUUUUGUCCUUUUGUCUGCUCACUAAAAGCCAAUAACAUUCUGUGCAAAGAAUUUGCAGUCAGCUGCACUUCUUCUAUCUCCAUCACUCCUUUGUGUCUCUUCCUGAAUGUAUCAAAAAGUUCAUCUCUAAUAGACAAAAGUGGCUGCUCCACAUGUUCAUUAAAGAAGCUAACAGUUGAGUCCUUUGCAUCACGAAUCCAAUUGUCAAUAUCAGGACUUCCCAUCAAACGACUAUGCCUCAGGAGCCACAUAGAACAAACAGAUAGACCAACUGCACCACAUGUGUAAGGAAUCCAGUACUGUGUUACUUUCUUUGGCUUU